RNAcentral lists this ribosomal RNA (650 nucleotides) under uncultured bacterium. RNAcentral's name for it is "bacterial SSU rRNA". It matches the Rfam family "Bacterial small subunit ribosomal RNA", at positions 8 to 653 of the family's 1533-position model. The record is from RNAcentral.
AGAGUUUGAUCCUGGCUCAGAUUGAACGCUGGCGGCAUGCCUAACACAUGCAAGUCGAACGCGAAAGUGCCUUCGGGUGCGAGUAGAGUGGCGGACGGGUGAGUAACGCGUAGGAAUCUGCCCAGUAGUGGGGGACAACUCAAGGAAACUCGAGCUAAUACACCAUACGCCCUACGGGGGAAAGCGGGGGAUCUUCGGACCUCGCGCUAUUGGAUGAGCCUGCGUCGGAUUAGCUAGUUGGUGAGGUAACGGCUCACCAAGGCAGCGAUCCGUAGCUGGUCUGAUAGGAUGAUCAUCCACAUUGGGACUGAGACACGGCCCACACUCCUACGGGAGGCAGCACUGGGGAAUAUUGUACAAUGGGCGAAAGCCUGAUCCAACAAUGCCUCGUGUGUGAAGAGCGUCUGCCGGUUGUAAAGCACUUUCAGAACAGAAUAAAAGCAUGGGGAUAAUACCCCCGUGUCUUGACUUAACCUACAGAAGAAGCACCUGUCUAACUCCGUGCCAGCAUCCACGGUAAUACAGAGGGUGCAAGCAUUAAUCCCAAUUACAGGGCGUACAUCGUACAUAAGCUGUUAUUUCACUCGCAUGUGAAAGCCCCCGGCUUAACCUGAUAAUUGCAUUUCAUACUGGAUAACUAUACUCUGGUA